Triticum aestivum (bread wheat) is the source of this 1055-nucleotide long non-coding RNA. RefSeq lists it as uncharacterized. The transcript has 2 exons. NCBI's taxonomy places the organism in Eukaryota, Viridiplantae, Streptophyta, Magnoliopsida, Poales, Poaceae. The record is from RefSeq and is a predicted model, not a curated record.
GUGACAGAGGGGGGAUCGAGGCGAUCGCGAUGCGGCCUGCGUGGGUGGUGCGAGGGGAUCCAAUCGACGCACGCGUGAUUGAUUUUCCUUGGGGAUAAGGCCGACCCGCGCGAGGGGAUCUCGUGGCGCAUGAUGCCGGUGACGCUUCAUCUGAUAUGGAAACUGCUCCGCUGACACUUGAAAGAUGCAAUCACACUUCAGUUUUGGAGCGCGCAUUCAUGGCGGCUGCCUAUCCUUUCCGAUGCCGAGGAGUACAUGUACGUGUAUAUAUCCCUCCUUUCCUGUCACUCUUCGCCCACCCUUUCCACUCCAGAGCAGCACAACAUCUUUCAGCAAGCCGAGGCAGGCCACGGCGACUGAUCCCCGUCGAGUGCACGGCCGUCUCAGUCGCCGGGCAUGCGGGUCAGGGCCGUCAGGCAUGCCGCGACACUUGGAUUUCGUGGGAGCAGCGAAGCAGCCCUAUUGUUGUUCGGUGAAGCAGAUGGCUGAAUCUCAUCUGCCGGGUUGAAAGAGGAGAUGAAUCAUCAGUUCUUGGAAGCGUUAACGGCAACUGAUGACCUGCAGCUGCUUGACUUCAUGCACCUGAAUAAUUUGUACAGGGCUUUGUCAAUCCUGGAUCUGGUCAACUAUUUAAUUCAGACAGAUCAUGGAGGCUGGUUCUCAUAUUUUGCUUGGUGAAUUCUUCAAUGCACAAUUUGCCAUGGCUGCUGAUCAGGUAAUUAGUUCACUCGCAGGACUGCCCACGUUAUCUCUUCACGCAAAUAUAAUCCAACAUAGUCUAUUUCCGUCACAAGCUUCAUCCAAAUGCUAACUGAACUUCAACAUAAACCAGUUGCUUGUUUUGCUGUCUAAAGUUAUUUCAGACUUAGAACAUUUUGCUGUUUAGAGGUAGCUUUUCUGUAAAAAAGUUGUCGUGCUGCUAUAAUACUAACAUGUCACAAAUUGUCACGAGAUGUUUAGAUAAAUCUGAUUGAGUUAACAAGUUUAUCAUGAUGUAAUAUAUGCACUGUGAUACAUUCUGCUAUACUGGUUCGUUGCUUGAUUUGUCAAUGUCA